GGGCAUUUUAUGCUCUGUAAUUGGAAUGAUGGGAAUGUAAAACCCUUCCAGAGUAACAAUUGGAGGGCAAGUCUGGUGCCAGCAGCCGCGGUAAUUCCAGCUCCAAUAGUGUAUAUUAGAGUUGUUGCAGUUAAAAAGCUCGUAGUUGGAUUUCUGCUGUGGUCAUCCGGUACCGCCCGUAUGGGUGCGCACCUGGUUUGGCUCCGGCUUUCUUCCUGUAGCCGUCCGCGCUUAAUUGCGUGUGCUGUGUUACGGAACUUUUACUUUGAGAAAAAUAGAGUGUUUCAAGCAGGCUUGUCGCCCUGAAUACUUCAGCAUGGAAUAAUAGGAUAGGACCUUGGUUCUAUUUUGUUGGUUUCUAGGACCAAGGUAAUGAUUAAUAGGGACAUUGGG
RNAcentral lists this ribosomal RNA (393 nucleotides) under Eimeria bovis. Its description in RNAcentral is "SSU rRNA". It matches the Rfam family "Eukaryotic small subunit ribosomal RNA", at positions 488 to 885 of the family's 1831-position model. The record is from RNAcentral. Lineage: Eukaryota; Apicomplexa; Conoidasida; Eucoccidiorida; Eimeriidae.